Molecule: transfer RNA, 72 nt
Filed under: Camelus ferus (Wild Bactrian camel)
Lineage: Eukaryota; Metazoa; Chordata; Mammalia; Artiodactyla; Camelidae
Rfam family: tRNA
About the family: Transfer RNA (tRNA) molecules are approximately 80 nucleotides in length.
Source: Rfam by way of RNAcentral
GUAGGUAUAGCUCAGUGGUAGAGUGCAUGCUUAGCAUGCACGAGGUCCUGGGUUCAAUCCUCAGUACCGCUG